Molecule: long non-coding RNA, 2154 nt
Filed under: Portunus trituberculatus (swimming crab)
Lineage: Eukaryota; Metazoa; Arthropoda; Malacostraca; Decapoda; Portunidae
Description: uncharacterized LOC123512467
Source: RNAcentral
UCUAUGGCCUAACAUACGUCUAACUAUUCAGUUUUAUUCGAAAUGUAACUCCUUCUUGAUCUCAUUCCAUGAGGUUGAUGGGGUUGCUCCACGCUGAUUGGCUAAAAAGCGUUUGCCAAACAAGAGCAAACGCUUUGGAAAGGCGUUUGCUCGCGUUUGCGAAAACUUGCCUCCGUUUGACUCCGAUUGCCCCCAGCCGCGCCGCUACUGAAAACGCCUUAAUUGGGAGAGACAGGAAGAUUGCACGUGGAAGAACACAAGAAGGAUGAAGAAUGUACUGCGCAUGCCAGGCAGCCGUGGGAGGGACGCGUGGCGGCGGGUCAGCGAGCAGCAGGAGGCAGUGACGGUGUGUGAUUAAUGUUCCCUCUUUGAUGUGUUUUUAUACAUUCAUUUUAUAGUUAAACAACAUUCAGAUGAAGGUUCCGUGGACUAUAUAGAAGUGCGGAAUUUGUAGGAUAUGAGAAUGAGGGAAGAAUAAAAAAUAAAAAAAUGAAGGGCGCAUGACGGAAUGGCGGUGGACCAGCCUAGACUAGAGAAAUGGAGGGAGGAAGUGAUUUUUUUUUUUUUUUUUUUUUUUAAGAGGGGUGAAGGAAAGGAAGAUGAGAAAAAGAGGGUGGGAAGAGAAGGUGUGAAAAACAGUAGGAGAAGGGAUAGGAUGUGGGCUUGACCACAAAGCUAUUUUUAACUUUAUUUUGAGACAACUCACAUAGUAAAAAGAAAAAAAAUAUUACAUAAACAUCAAUUUCCAUCUUGCAAUUAAUCCAGUCCAGCAUCUGCGCAACCAGAACCACAGCUCUCCCUGACACCACAUACUCUUGGGAUCCUACUCCAUAUAUUUUCACGUUAAUUCUUAUAACAUCAUUAGAGAGAGAGAGAGAGAGAGAGGCACUUCUUUUUACAUUUAUACAUAUUUUUAUGUAUUUAUAAGUUUGAUAAUGGCUAGACCACCAAGAGAACCACAACUAAAUCCCUACUAGUUAGACUGGACUGCACUCGCUGGAAUGAAAACUGCAAUCAGGAUUUAAAUAUGAACAAAGAAUUUAAUUUUACUUUUAAUUUUAUAACUUAUUGUUAUGAUUUACAAUAUUAAAAAAAAUAUGUUGAAGAUUGAUUGAUUGAUGUAGAUCCAUAUCUCCUGGUCCUCGUCGUUGUCUGAUCCGACCACCUCCAUCGUCGUGGACUCUGUAAAAACUAGAAAAGCAUUACUUGUGUCAAGUAAUAAUUGCCUCGAACCGAUCGGUCUCUGUAUCUAUCACGCCAGUUGUUUUUGGAAAUCAUGUAUGAGGAUUAGUUUGUGGUGUUUUUAAAUUUUCAUACAGCUCUGGCUCUGUAUUUUUCACUUUUUCCCAUAAUAUAUUCCUUACUUUAUUAUGGAUGGAUAUGUUUAAGGGAUUUAUAUUAUAUUUAACAUGCAAUUCCUCUGAUUUAAGUCUUGUUUCUUCGUUUUGAUGUAUGAAACGUAGUGCCUUGUUUAGAACAGUCUGCAUUUGUUUUUUCUGAGUUGUUGAUACUGCUAUUAUUGGUAUUGGUGGAUAUUCCAAUAUAGGAAUCAGUUGUGUUUUUACUAAUGUUGAUUUCAACUUAGGAGUUAAGUUUGUGAAUCUUCUUAACUUAGUCAAUACAGCAUUUCCCUUGUUUUUAAUGUCAGUACAAUGUCCUGUUAUACCUGUUCUUUGCAAUUUUAGUCCAAGAAACUUCCCUUCUUUACAAGUUUGUAUAUCUUUAUUAUUUAUUUUCAAGGUUUUAGUCUUUAUUUGGGCCAUUGGAAUUAUUUAAAAAUUUUCCUCUCGUUUUUAUUUUCCAAGUUCGUUCAUGAUGAAUUGAGCUGUGUUUAUAUAUUCAAUCCACACCAGAACAGCGUGUAUAGAUGAAACAUUCUGUGAAUCAAAGAUGCGGAUCGAGUUUUUAGGAUAUGAGUGUAGGAAGGACGAAAAAGGUUAAUUUUAAGGAAUAGUGAAGGGAUGGUGGUGGUAGUGCUUCCACAGCGGGGAAUUCAUUAUAUUAGUUGCCAGAUUUCCUUAGAUAUAGAUGAGUUUUCCUAAAAAAUUGUGUUCAAAGUGAAAUUUUGUCCUAAGUGUUUUCCUGUGUUUCUAAAUCCAGGUGUGCGUCAAUAGUAAUUGUAGGAGGUAGAAAACAAGGGAAAUAAAGGAGGAA